UACGAAGGGGGCUAGCGUUGCUCGGAAUGACUGGGCGUAAAGGGCGCGUAGGCGGUUUGGACAGUCAGAUGUGAAAUCCCCAGGCUUAACCUGGGAACUGCAUCCGAUACUGGAUGGCUUGAAUCCGGGAGAGGGAUGCAGAAUUCCAGGUGUAGCGGUGAAAUGCGUAGAUAUCUGGAGGAAUACCGGUGGCGAAGGCGGCAUCCUGGACCGGCAUUGACGCUGAGUGAGCGAAAGCUAGGGGAGCAAACGGG
RNAcentral lists this ribosomal RNA (254 nucleotides) under uncultured bacterium. Its description in RNAcentral is "partial 16S ribosomal RNA". It matches the Rfam family "Bacterial small subunit ribosomal RNA", at positions 524 to 776 of the family's 1533-position model. The record is from RNAcentral.